CCUACGGGUGGCAGCAGUGAGGAAUAUUGGUCAAUGGACGCAAGUCUGAACCAGCCAUGCCGCGUGCAGGAAGACGGCCCUAUGAGUUGUAAACUGCGUUUGUACGAGGGUAAACGCAGAUACGCGUAUCUGUCUGAAAGUAUCGUACGAAUAAGGAUCGGCUAACUCCGUGCCAGCAGCCGCGGUAAUACGGAGGAUUCAAGCGUUAUCCGGACUUAUUGGGUUUAAAGGGUGCGUAGGCGGUCGGAUAAGUUAGAGGUGAAAUCCCGAGGCUCAACUUCGGAAUUGCCUCUGAUACUGUUCGGCGAGAGAGUAGUUGCGGUAGGCGGAAUGUAUGGUGUAGCGGUGAAAUGCUUAGAGAUCAUACAGAACACCGAUUGCGAAGGCAGCUUACCAAGCUACUUCUGACGUUGAGGCACGAAAGCGUGGGGAGCAAACAGGAUUAGAUACCCGGGUAGUC
RNAcentral lists this ribosomal RNA (460 nucleotides) under uncultured bacterium. RNAcentral describes it as "partial 16S ribosomal RNA". It matches the Rfam family "Bacterial small subunit ribosomal RNA", at positions 338 to 795 of the family's 1533-position model. The record is from RNAcentral.